RNAcentral lists this ribosomal RNA (600 nucleotides) under Blastocystis sp. RNAcentral's name for it is "SSU rRNA". It matches the Rfam family "Eukaryotic small subunit ribosomal RNA", at positions 16 to 618 of the family's 1831-position model. The record is from RNAcentral. Lineage: Eukaryota; Bigyra; Opalinata; Blastocystidae.
GCCAGUAGUCAUACGCUCGUCUCAAAGAUUAAGCCAUGCAUGUGUAAGUUUAAAUAGUAAACAGUAAGACUGCGAAUGGCUCAUUAUAUCAGUUAUAGUUUAUUUGAUGAAUGAUCUUUUGGAUACUAUUGGAUAACCGUAGUAAUUCUAGGGCUAAUACAUGAUGAAAUCUCUAUUCUUUGAAUAGAGUAUAUUUAUUAGUAUGAAAACCAUAAGUCUUUUGACUUGAUUGUGAGUAAUAAUAACUUAUAAUAUCGUAUGCUAUAAGUAACGAUAGAUCUUUUAAGUUUCUGCCCUAUCAGCUUUGGAUGGUAGUGUAUUGGACUACCAUGGCAGUAACGGGUAACGAAGAAUUUGGGUUCGAUUUCGGAGAGGGAGCCUGAGAGAUGGCUACCACAUCCAAGGAAGGCAGCAGGCGCGUAAAUUGUCCAAUCCUAAUACAGGGAGACAGUGACGAUACGUCUUAGAGGAGAACAUUAAUGUUAUCCAACUAAAUUGAGAACAAUGUACAAUCGUUAUCGAUAAACAAUUGGAGGGCAAGUCUGGUGCCAGCAGCCGCGGUAAUUCCAGCUCCAAUAGCGUAUAUUAACGUUGUUGCAG